GACGAACGCUGACGGUGUGCUUUAGACAUGCAAGUCGAGCGAGAAAGCCCUUCGGGGUUAGUAAAGCGGCGAACGGGUGAGUAACACGUGGGCAAUCUGCCCCUCGCAGGGGGACAACCGGGGGAAACUCCGGCUAAUACCCCGUAAGCUAUGUGGAUCGCAUGGUUCACAUAGGAAAGGUAGCUUCGGCCAUCCGGCGAGGGAUGAGCCCGCGGUACAUUAGCUAGUUGGUGGGGUAACGCCUACCAAGGCGGCGAUGUAUAGCUGGUCUGAGAGGAUGAUCAGCCACACUGGGACUGAGACACGGCCCAGACUCCUACGGGAGGCAGCAGUCGGGAAUCUUGCACAAUGGGCGAAAGCCUGAUGCAGCAACACCGUGUGAGCGAUGAAGG
This 392-nucleotide ribosomal RNA is filed under the name uncultured bacterium. RNAcentral's name for it is "bacterial SSU rRNA". It matches the Rfam family "Bacterial small subunit ribosomal RNA", at positions 28 to 414 of the family's 1533-position model. The record is from RNAcentral.